RNAcentral lists this ribosomal RNA (449 nucleotides) under uncultured bacterium. RNAcentral's name for it is "partial 16S ribosomal RNA". It matches the Rfam family "Bacterial small subunit ribosomal RNA", at positions 354 to 795 of the family's 1533-position model. The record is from RNAcentral.
GUGGGGAAUUUUGGACAAUGGGCGAAAGCCUGAUCCAGCAAUGCCGCGUGCAGGAUGAAGGCCCUCGGGUUGUAAACUGCUUUUGUACGGAACGAAAAGCCUGGGGCUAAUAUCCCCGGGUCAUGACGGUACCGUAAGAAUAAGCACCGGCUAACUACGUGCCAGCAGCCGCGGUAAUACGUAGGGUGCAAGCGUUAAUCGGAAUUACUGGGCGUAAAGCGUGCGCAGGCGGUUUUGUAAGACAGUGGUGAAAACCCCGGGCUCAAACUGGGAACUGCCAUUGUGACUGCAAGGGUAGAGUGCGGCAGAGGGGGAUGGAAUUCCGCGUGUAGCAGUGAAAUGCGUAGAUAUGCGGAGGAACACCGAUGGCGAAGGCAAUCCCCUGGGCCUGCACUGACGCUCAUGCACGAAAGCGUGGGGAGCAAACAGGAUUAGAUACCCCAGUAUCC